CAGAGUUCAUUACACAAACCAUCAACAUUACCUUCAUUCAACAUGCUCUCAUUGGACUGUUAUGGACUUUCUCUACUGUUUGUCACUAUUCUAACAGGUGUCAGCUGUGGAAAACUCACUCCAGUCAAGAAUGAAGAGUCCAGUUUAGAAGACAGCACUGUUACUCUGUCCUACAAAUACUCUGAAAAACCAACUGGUACUGAUUAUUUCUUCUGGUAUCGACAAUAUCCAGGAAAACCACCAGAGUUCAUCGUCUCACAAACUCUUAAAGUGAGUGGACUGAAGAUUGAAGUGGAUCAGAACCAGAACCAAAUCCAUCUGAACAUCUCCUCUGCUGCAGUGUCACACUCUGCUGUGUACUACUGUGCUCUGCAGCCCACAGUGACAGGAAACACCUAAACUCUGUACAAAAACCUUUGGAGCAAAGACAACACAAUACUCCACAACGUCCACUAGAGGGAGUCA
Sebastes umbrosus (honeycomb rockfish) is the source of this 465-nucleotide non-coding RNA. The record is from the annotation of a RefSeq genome assembly. NCBI's taxonomy places the organism in Eukaryota, Metazoa, Chordata, Actinopteri, Perciformes, Sebastidae.